UGAAUACGAGAUGCUACGGCGUCGAAGCAGUGUAUGUCAGACUUCCAAGAAAAGCUCGCAAUGUCAUAAAUAAAGAAUGCCUGUACCAUAACCGACACAGGUGGGUAGGUAGAGUAUACUAAGGGGCGCGAGAUAACUCUCUCUAAGGAACUCGGCAAAAUAACUCCGUAACUUCGGGAGAAGGAGUGCCUUCUUUAAGAAGGUUGCAAUAACAAGAUCCAAGCAACUGUUUAUCAAAAACACAGGUCUCCGCUAAGUCGUAAGACGAUGUAUGGGGGCUGACGCCUGCCCAGUGCCAGAAGGUUAAAGAAGCUGGUUAGCAAUAGCGAAGCUGGUGACUGAAGCCCUGGUGAACGGCGGCCGUAACGAUAACGGUCCUAAGGUAGCGAAAUUCCUUGUCGGGUAAGUUCCGACCCGCACGAAAGGCGUAAUGAUUUGGAUACUGUCUCGGAGAGGGACUCGGUGAAAUAGACUUGUCUGUGAAGAUGCGGACUACCUGCACCAGGACAGAAAGACCCUAUGAAGCUUUACUGUAACCUGAAAUUGAAAUUGGACUUUAUUUGCGCAGUAUAGGUGGGAGGCGUUGAAAGUAAUCUUGCGGGAUUAGUGGAGCCAUCAGUGAGAUACCACUCCUGUAAUGUUAGAUUUCUAACUUUGGAUCAUGAUCUGGUCAAAGAACAGUUUCAGGCGGGCAGUUUGACUGGGGCGGUCGCCUCCCAAAUGGUAACGGAGGCGUACAAAGGUUUCCUCUGAACGGGUAGAAAUCGUAUCUAGAGUGUAAAGGCAUAAGGAAGCUUGACUGUGAGACCUACAAGUCGAGCAGGGACGAAAGUCGGUCUUAGUGAUCUGACGGUGCUGAGUGGAAAGGCCGUCACUCAACGGAUAAAAGUUACUCUAAGGAUAACAGGCUGAUCUCCCCCAAGAGUUCACAUCGACGGGGAGGUUUGGCACCUCGGUGUCGGCUCAUCGCAUCCUGGGGCGGUAGUACGUCCCAAGGGUUGGGCUGUUCGCCCAUGAAAGCGGUACGCGAGCUGGGUUCAGAACGUCGUGAGACAGUUCGGUCCAUAUCCGGUGUAGGCGUUAGAAUAUUGAGAGGAGCCUUCUCUAGUACGAGAGGACCGAGAAGGACAUACCUCUGGUGUACCAGUUAUCGUGCCAACGGUAAACGCUGGGUAGCUAUGUAUGGAGAGGAUAACCGCUGAAAGCAUCUAAGUGGGAAGCCCACCUCAAGAUGAGUAUUCUCAU
This 1245-nucleotide ribosomal RNA is filed under the name metagenome. RNAcentral describes it as "bacterial LSU rRNA". It matches the Rfam family "Bacterial large subunit ribosomal RNA", at positions 1564 to 2817 of the family's 2925-position model. The record is from RNAcentral.